GGGUCAGUAGGUUGGUCGUGCCACCGGUACGUACUGGUCUCACUGAUUCCUCCUUCCUGAAGAACCGUAAUGCCAUUAAUUUGGUGUUGCGGGGAAACAGGACUGUUACUUUGAAAAAAUUAGAGUGUUUAAAGCAAGCUAACGCUUGAAUACAUUAGCAUGGAAUGAUGAAAUAGGACGAUCGAUCCUAUUUUGUUGGUUGCUAGGAUUGACGUA
RNAcentral lists this ribosomal RNA (216 nucleotides) under Glomeromycotina sp. RNAcentral's name for it is "partial small subunit ribosomal RNA". The stretch from base 40 to 216 matches the Rfam family "Eukaryotic small subunit ribosomal RNA", at positions 686 to 864 of the family's 1831-position model. Lineage: Eukaryota; Fungi; Glomeromycota. The record is from RNAcentral.